RNAcentral lists this ribosomal RNA (356 nucleotides) under uncultured bacterium. Its description in RNAcentral is "partial 16S ribosomal RNA". It matches the Rfam family "Bacterial small subunit ribosomal RNA", at positions 523 to 880 of the family's 1533-position model. The record is from RNAcentral.
AUACGUAGGGUGCAAGCGUUAAUCGGAAUUACUGGGCGUAAAGCGUGCGCAGGUGGUUACCUAAGCAGGGGGUGAAAGGCACUGGCUUAACCAAUGUCAGCCCCCUGAACUGGGCUACUUGAGUGCAGGAGAGGAAAGUGGAAUUCCUAGUGUAGCGGUGAAAUGCGUAGAUAUUAGGAGGAACACCAGUGGCGAAGGCGACUUUCUGGACUGUUACUGACACUGAGGCACGAAAGUGUGGGGAGCAAACAGGAUUAGAUACCCUGGUAGUCCACACCGUAAACGAUGAGCACUAGGUGUCGGGUGAGCAAUUUCUCGGUGCCGCAGUUAACGCAUUAAGUGCUCCGCCUGGGGAG